RNAcentral lists this transfer RNA (62 nucleotides) under Pediacus taiwanensis. RNAcentral's name for it is "tRNA-Asp". The record is from RNAcentral. Lineage: Eukaryota; Metazoa; Arthropoda; Insecta; Coleoptera; Cucujidae.
GAAAAUUUAGUUAAAAUAUAACAUUAGCAUGUCAAACUAAAAUUAUUAAUAAAUAAUUUUCU